UUUCAGUGGUGAGGAUCUGAAAAAAAAAUGUAAAUAACGGGUAUGAGCUUCACAGCUCAGUAAGUAAUCAUACAUAAUCUUACUGGAUCGAACAUAAUGGUAACCAUGUUUAUGCAGGGUUUGAGAAGCUGACAUGCGUAUUAUCUCACAAUUUAUCAUGGCAAAAUAUGUAUGCUUGGAAAACAAAGCAGUAUUUUUAGUCAAACAGAAUUUUCAUAAAACAUGCACAUGAAACCGUGCCCCCGGCAUGCCGUGCUCCAUUCUCUCGGAUGCUACUGCGAAGUCCAUUCGGCCACUGGCGGGGCCAGCUAGUCAUUCUCGGCCACUAGCAAGGCCAGCGAAGU
RNAcentral lists this long non-coding RNA (344 nucleotides) under Phoenix dactylifera (date palm). RNAcentral describes it as "long non-coding RNA (PDAC_LNC017496)". Lineage: Eukaryota; Viridiplantae; Streptophyta; Magnoliopsida; Arecales; Arecaceae. The record is from RNAcentral.